Molecule: unclassified non-coding RNA, 20 nt
Filed under: Mus musculus (house mouse)
Lineage: Eukaryota; Metazoa; Chordata; Mammalia; Rodentia; Muridae
Description: oocyte_clustered_small_RNA7554
Source: RNAcentral
CCUUCCCCCUUGAUCACUAU